AUGAGUACAGACCAAUGAGUGGAUAACACUUUAUCCAUUACUUCACUAAGCAAGAUGUAGUGGGCUUAGUCUCUAAGUCCUGUGGCCUCACCUAAUAGUUAUCGGCAUAUUUCUUAGUUAAGUCAGAUCCAUCAUUCACCAGCAGACACAAAGUCAUCAUUAGGACCCUCAUCUAAUAAUUAUUGGGCCUAACCCUAUCUCUAACUCGGGACAUUAAAUAUCAAUAGAGUGAUUAUACCUUCUUAAUGUAACCAAACCACUGUAACCAGUCAAGAAUGAUCAAUGCC
Molecule: long non-coding RNA, 287 nt
Filed under: Elaeis guineensis (African oil palm)
Lineage: Eukaryota; Viridiplantae; Streptophyta; Magnoliopsida; Arecales; Arecaceae
Description: long non-coding RNA (EGUI_LNC057688)
Source: RNAcentral